This is an RNA transcript of Solenopsis invicta (red fire ant), 2533 nucleotides long. RefSeq lists it as uncharacterized. Lineage: Eukaryota; Metazoa; Arthropoda; Insecta; Hymenoptera; Formicidae. The transcript has 3 exons. The record is from RefSeq and is a predicted model, not a curated record.
UUUUUUUCAAUUAUCAAACAAUUUCUAAAUUUAAUUUUGCAAAUAUACUUGUUAUACAUAAAUAAUUCGUCAACGUUAUAGUUUUGCCCAAAUAGUUUUUAGAAAUUGAUUGCGCAAACAGAUUUUAUAAAAGAUUAAUAUAUUUUUAUAUCUAUUUAUUUGUAUUUUUUUUACUGUGAAUUUAUAUAUGUUACAGAUCUUUUAUCACAUUUGUGCCUCAUAGUAUUGUUUCGAUUGGGUGCGAAAGACUUGUAUUAUAUCAUCUGCGCUUACAUUUAUACUCUAUUUCUGGUUGGAUGCGAAGGACUUAUAUCUUAUACGCUCACAUUUAUUGACUCUUCUAUUUUCUGUUAUACGGAAAGAACAAUCUUUAAGAUGCGGAAAUCUUUUCGUGAAUUGUCAACAAGGCAACAAAAUCGUCGCUUGCAGGCGUACGAAAGUCAACAAGAGCAGGAAACAAAUUCUUCUCCAAAAAAUACUCUAGCUAACGUCCGUACCAAUGUGGAAUUGGUCUCUAAUUUUUACCAAUCCAUUGCUGAUAAUUCAGACGAUAGUGACGAUAAUGACGAUAGAUCCGAUAAUAUUUCAAUGUCUCACGAUCGAGAAAAUAUUAUAAAUGAGAGUAAUGGAAACUUUUCCGAAAAUGCGUACAAAAAUGAAGACUUUUCUACUUGGUUACGUUCGUGGAAAUUGAAACAUAACAUUUCACACAGUGCUAUGUCGGAACUUUUGAGUCAAUUGAGCAUAUGCGGCCAUGCCGAUUUACCAAAGGAUGCAAGAACACUGUUACGAACACCCAGGUUUAACUCUAUCAAGAUUUCAGCCAGCGGAGGUAGUAAUUUUCAUUACGGUUUGGAAAACGGUCUAAUUGAUCAAUUGAUACGUACUAAUUAUGAAAAUGAAAAUAACGUAAUUGAAAUAGAUCUGAAUAUUGAUGGACUGCCAAUAAGUAAGAGCAGCAAAAGUCAAAUUUGGCCGAUAUUGGGAAAGAUCUACGGAAAUAAAGCAUUCACGCCUUUUAUUAUUAGUGCCUAUCAUGGGUACACAAAACCGAAAUCUUUAACAGAUUUUCUGGCUCCUUUCUGCGAAGAGUAUCGUGAACUUCAACGCACAGGAAUCGCUUUCCGUAGAAAAACUUAUGCAGUAAAAAUAAGAUGCGUAAUUUGCGAUAGUCCUGCCAGAUCAUUUGUUACAGGCACUAAAGCACACAAUGCCUUUUUUGGAUGUGGCAAGUGUAUGCAAGAAGGCACGUUUGAUAAUCGUCGCAUGCUUUUCUUAGACUUUGAUUCACCUCCUCGCACCGAUGAAAAUUUUAAAAAUAGAUUGCAAGAAGAGCACCAUAAUAAUACGUCUCCAUUAGAAUCCAUACUGCCUAUGGUGUCACGUUUCCCUCUUGAUUAUAUGCAUCUAGUGUGUCUGGGAGUCACAAAGAAAUUGUUACAGUUGUGGACAAAUGGAUAUCAUACGUCAAAACUGAGUGGUCAAAAAAUAACGCAGUUAUCUGACAAAUUAAUUGCUAUUUCAAAAUGGAUACCAAAGGAAUUUCCUCGAAAACCACGAUCAUUGGAUGACUUGUCUCGAUGGAAAGCAACUGAGUUGCGAUUGUUUCUUCUAUACGUAGGACCAAUUGCUCUGCAUGGUAUUUUGUCGCAAGAUAAUUUACGACAUUUCAAUGUGCUACAUUGUGCUAUUCGCAUACUAUGUCAUUCAACCGAUUUCUUACACAACAAUGAAUAUAGCAGAGAUUUGUUGAUACAUUUUGUGAAAAUCUGUAAAGAGUUAUACGGAGCAGAUUCAAUUAUUUAUAACGUACACAAUUUAAUUCAUUUAAGCGAAGACGCACUCAAAUAUGGAUCACUCGAUAAUUUUUCUGCAUUUCCUUAUGAAAAUUACAUGCAGACAAUAAAGAAAAUGCUCCGAAAAGCUGAAAAGCCACUACAGCAGCUGUACAACAGAAUCUCCGAAAUAAAUACCGAACUUAAAAUUACUGACAAUGAAUCCAUUUAUCCCAUACUGAAGAAGGAAUUUCGAGAAAUUCUUCCUGCAAAUUGCAAAAGAGCACAUCGUGUAAUUCAAUUCAAAGACUUUAUUCUGACAGCUAAGAAACCCGACAAUUGCUGUUAUCUAAAAGAUAAUACAAUUGUUGUUAUUAAACACAUUUGCUAUAACGGAGAUACUGCCGUCAUAAUUGCAAGAAAGUUUUUAACGAAAAAUUCAUUAUCUUUGUACCCAUGUUUAUCGGAAAAUAUGGAUAUGUAUAUUGUAAACAAUUUAUCCCAGUUAAUGAUAUCGGAAGUUACCGAAAUUUCGAAUAAAGCUGUUCAACUUCCAUUCGGGGAAGACUCAUGGUGCUGUAUGCCAUUGUUACAUUCAUUGUAGCAUUAAAUUAGAAAUUAUUACUACCUCUAUACUUCCUGAUAGCGCGCUAAUGAGAAAGAAUGGAGUAUUAUGUUUUAUUGUAUGAUAUGUACUGCAUAUCUGUGCCAUCGUCAUGGAUCAAUUUCGAUCAAAGUACUUUCAAGAUACCCAAAAA